GUCUAAGGCCACACCACCCUGAAUCUGCAUGAUCUUGUCUGAUCUCUACAGCUAAGCAUGGUCUGGACUGGGUAAUACUUGGAUGGGAGACAAGGUCUGGGUUCCUUUAUUUGAAAUCUGUAACCCACU
RNAcentral lists this ribosomal RNA (129 nucleotides) under Otolemur garnettii (small-eared galago). The record is from RNAcentral. Lineage: Eukaryota; Metazoa; Chordata; Mammalia; Primates; Galagidae.